UCCACACGAUGUCAUAAUUUGGUACAUUAAAUUGCAAACUAUUAGGAAAUAAGUGGGUCUUUAUAUUAAGCAAAUGGUGAAAUACUAAAAAAGGUGCUGACUUAAAAAGAUGUGGUUUUACUAACGUCGGUAUGCCCCUUCGAACCUAUUUCAACAAUUUCAGCCUUUACACUAGGAUCAGUUAUAACCUCGGAUAAAGAUAUCAGAGUCACGACUGAUAUCUAGGAACUCUAAGAUGCAGAUAUAUUUGGCAUUAAUCCAGUCAAUUAUUAUGUAUGGAACAUGGACAAUGACGAAGCAGAACGAACGAGUGCUAAGACGCUUUGAACAAGAGAUGUUGCGGAGACACUUUGGACCUAUAAUAGAUAAGAAAAUUCACAGAUUUUGCAACAUGCGCAAACAUCGUAGGCGUAUUGAAAAUACCAGAUACAAGUACGGUGGCUGUUAUUUUUUAUAUUUUAUAUUAUCUUGUGACGUCAUUUGAAAGUGCUCAAUAAACGAAACAUAAAAGAA
Anthonomus grandis grandis is the source of this 513-nucleotide long non-coding RNA. RefSeq lists it as uncharacterized. The transcript is spliced from 2 exons. The record is from RefSeq and is a predicted model, not a curated record. Lineage: Eukaryota; Metazoa; Arthropoda; Insecta; Coleoptera; Curculionidae.